UUUCCCCAAUGGAUUUUAAGAAGAAAAGAACUUCCAAGAAGUGAAGUCAGUAUUUUUAUUUUUUCAAAUUUUCUUUUUCUUUUUUUCUUGAGAGAGAGAGAGAGAGAGAGAGAGAGUGGGAGAGGGGAAGAGUGAGAGAAAAUCUUAAGCAAGCUCCAUUCUCAGCAUGGAGUCUGAUGUGGGGCUUGAUCCCACAGCCCUGGGAUUAUGGCCUGAGCUGAAAUCAACAGUCGGAAGUUCAACCAACUGAUGCACCCAGGCACCCCAAAUCACUAUUCUUAAUGGACCAGCCUUGGAGGAGAUGAACCACCUGGAGCAGGAGUAGUGGGUCUAGGAGCGAUGGUUUGGGAAGUAGUAAGAGUUCAGCAUCGCAGCUGCAAUGCACAAAUUGAUGUUUAGAUCGUGCUGUGAAACCCAGCAAUGAUCCAGGAUCCAGUGGUAUUACCAGGUUAAGUAAGUCACCCAGGAUGACACAAUCAGGAAGUGUUAGAGAAGGAACAGGCACUAGCACGGUGUGACCAGAGGCCAUCUGGAUUUAGAGAUGCAAUAUCAACUCCUGAUAGGGUAUCCUGCCCCACUUUUAGACAAGUUAGGAAACAAAUGAUUCUUGUUUUACUUUUUAAAAUGUUUGCCUUCCUCCCUCUUCCACUGGUCAACAAAUAGCUUGAAUGAUUAAAGAGAUUGGUGCUGGGGCGCCUGGGUGUCUCAGUAGGUUGAGUGUCCGACUUCGGCUCAGGUCAUGAUCUCACAGGUCAAGAUCUCACUUUGUCUGCCUCUCUCUCUGCCCCUCCCCUGUUCAUGCUUGCUCUCUCUCUCUCUCUCUCUCUCUCUCUCUCUCUCUGUCAAAAAUAAAUAAACGUUAACAAUGUUUUUUUAAAUAAAUGAGGAGGUUGGUGCUAAGUGGGCUGCAUUUGUUCAGGGCCAACAGGUGGCUUAGGAGCAACUGGAAUAGACUGGCUCAGAAAGUAUUCUGCAAUAACGAAUAAGAUGCAAUUCAGUUCUUUCCCCCAAAUUACAGUGUUGAUUAAAAAAAAACUGCCACAGCUCCAUUUUUAAAAUAUAUGCUCUAAACUGUUUUCUGCCCUUUAGUCUACCUUGCAAGGCCACAUGCAAGCUACAAAAGAAAGCACCUUCUAUAUAGCAAUAAGCAGGCACUUAGAAGCUCAGUGAAAGAUCAUACAGUUUCCUAGUGGACAAAGUACUUAACUCCAUUAGUGCCAUAGGCUGAUUAAAUCACCCACAUUACAUUUCAACGGGGUUUCAGCCAAUUAAGCCAGCUCAAUUCAUCUCUGCUUUCUGGGGUCAUAAAGACAUUUAGAAACAAAUUUACGAUCUGGCCUGUUAGUGAAAUGACUUGUGGAGUUGUUUUUAAAUCAGAGUGACUAAAUUAAUAAUUAAAAAAAAAGUUUAAAAUGAUCUGAACUGGGUAUUUUUUUAAUAUUCAAAGCCAUCAUGAUACGACCUUAAUUACAUUCAGCAAAUGCUUUUUUCUUUCCUUCUCUAAGCAGACUUAGAAAGCACUGAACUGAGAAACCAACCAACUGGAACAGAGGAAGAAAUAAGCUGAAUUCAUUUUCAGUCAGGUGACCCCAUUGUGGAACUAUCUUCUUAGAGCAUUCAGUUCCCCUGAAUGAUAAUUCUACCAGGCAGCUCACAGGAGAGGGCAGAUUUGAUCCCUAAAGUAACAUGCAUCUAGAAAAUACAGUUUAGCCAAUUAGGUUGUUCAAUUUCUAGAACUGUGCAGAUACUGCUUCUGAUAUCUCUGCCCCUGAUUCAUCAAGUCCACCACAGAGAUCAUCUAUCAACAGACCUUUGCUGAAAAUGAAAACAACUGACAAGGAAGUACUUGGCUCCAGAGGCCUAUGGAUAAUGUUGCAGUUUCUGGCCGGCUCAGUGUUCAGCUUAAACAACUACUAUCAUGGAAAAAAAAGGGAGCAUAAAUAUCUGGACACAACAAGCAAGCUGCACUGUAGAUGGGAAGUAUAAAAUGGCCUGACACAGAGAAUAGAUCCCCAUCUCUACAUAACAGAGAUCAUCAACUGGCCAGUCAAUAAAUCCAGUUUUUUGAUCAUCAGUAACCAGCAAAGACAAAUGAUGUAUUGGCCAUGAGGAAGCCAGACCACAUCCAAGCUUGGCCAAUAUCAGAAACAAAAGCACAAACAACAGAGAAAGAAGAAUGACAAAAGAGAAAGGAUCAAUGACGGUAAAGUUUAUUGUAUUUGUAAUUCAUUCCAGGGACGAAAAACUCACUUGAGUCCAAGAAUUCCAUGUUUUAACCAAUAUAUUUUAAGUGGCUUGGGCAAUUGUAUCAUCUUGGCCAUCUCGGUGGGACCUCCAUCAACUGUCAAAGAUGGUUUUCAAAAAGUUAAUAACAUGAUUGUGUCACAAAUCUAAGCAUCUGUCGAAGAUUUAUUUAAUUCAGUAAUGAAGGAACCAACAAUCUGGGGAAGCCAGUUGCUUAAUAAUUUUUAUGAAUUUGAUAAAUUUUGUUCAUAAAGAUGGUGAAUCUGAAGAUAUUUUAACUCUAAUAAUGAGCAACAAUUUAGUAAGGCUUUAUUUUAAACCAUUCACCAAAUAAAUUACUUAAUUCUACAUUUUAAAUUGUGGUUACAGAACUAUGGCUACAUUGUUAACAUAGCUCAUAAUUGUGGAUUCAAACAUAAACAUUUGCUACUUCCAUCUAUAUCGAAUGGAAUUAAUAGAAUUUUCAU
Acinonyx jubatus (cheetah) is the source of this 2711-nucleotide long non-coding RNA. RefSeq lists it as uncharacterized. The transcript has 3 exons. The record is from RefSeq and is a predicted model, not a curated record. Lineage: Eukaryota; Metazoa; Chordata; Mammalia; Carnivora; Felidae.